This 71-nucleotide transfer RNA is filed under the name Acinetobacter phage vB_AbaM_ME3. RNAcentral describes it as "tRNA-OTHER". It matches the Rfam family "tRNA". From Rfam's summary of the family: Transfer RNA (tRNA) molecules are approximately 80 nucleotides in length. Lineage: Duplodnaviria; Heunggongvirae; Uroviricota; Caudoviricetes. The record is from RNAcentral.
UCCAGAAUUGGUGUAAUGGUAGCACAGGGGUCCCUAAAACCCUGCGUCUGAGUUCGAAUCUCAGAUUUUGG